AUGGCGGCCUUUUCCGGCCCGGCUGGGCCAAUCCUGUUGCUGAACCCGCAGGAAGAUCCCGGGUUUCAGAAGGAGGGGGCGCAGGUUCGCAAGCGCACAACUCUGUGGAAAAAAACAACUUACUUCUGGAGUAGUCUGUGUGCGCCACCUACCUAACCUACUUAACGAAACCGGGAUCCUUUCCUAUUUCUCCCAAGGUGGCACCGUUACAAGGUUCAGACUAUCCCGAAAUAAAAGGACUGGAAAUAGCAAAGGCUAUGCAUUUGUGGAGUUUGAGUCUGAGUCUGUUGCCGAGAUAGUUGCUGAAACAAUGAACAACUACCUGUUUGUUGGAGUGUCAUUUUAUGCCACCUGAAAAAGUACAGAAAGAAAUCUUUAAAGACCGUAAUAUUCCAUUUAAACAGCCAUCAUAUCCAUCAGUGAGACGGUAUAAUCAGAAUCGGCAUUUCGCAAAAGCUGCGGAUGGAGGGGCCAUUUAAAAAGAAAGAAAGAUUACUCCAGAAGAAAUUAGCUUAAAAUAGAAUUAUGAUUUUCCUUCUUUGAUUUUACAGAAAAUGGAAAGUACUUCAAAAUCAAAUUUUCGGACGUCUACAAAAGGCCAGGUUUUACUUAAGAAGAAAAAGGUUUUAGGCACUCCUGACACUCCUGAAAAGACUGUGGAUACCCAGGGCCCCACACCGGUUUGUACAUCAACAUUUUUGGGGAGAUGAAAAUGUGAGUGUCUGAAAUGAAUGAUGAUGACGAGGAAAAUGAAAUAGUUUUCAAACAGCCCAUAUCCUGUGUAAAAGAAGAAAUACAAGAGACUCAAACACCUAUACAUUCACAGAAAAAAAGACGAAGGAAAAGCAAUCAGUGA
RNAcentral lists this long non-coding RNA (856 nucleotides) under Homo sapiens (human). Its description in RNAcentral is "non-protein coding lnc-MSX2-9:1". Lineage: Eukaryota; Metazoa; Chordata; Mammalia; Primates; Hominidae. The record is from RNAcentral.